CUCAUCAAAAAUCUACAUAUACCUUAUAUAGGAUUCCCAAGCCAUAAAAUCCUAUUUUCCAAUUUUGUUACUUCACAUAACAUAUUUAAUUCAUUUACUCAUAACUAGUCCAUUUUCAUGAAAAAUACCAAGUCAGUUCCAAAAAUAUUUCUUUUCUGUGAUUUAGCAAAAUAUAGUCCCAUAUUGAACAUAUAUUUUUCUCGGAAUUUUUAAAAUUUAUUUACUAUUUU
Molecule: long non-coding RNA, 230 nt
Filed under: Panax ginseng (ginseng)
Lineage: Eukaryota; Viridiplantae; Streptophyta; Magnoliopsida; Apiales; Araliaceae
Description: long non-coding RNA (PGIN_LNC018767)
Source: RNAcentral